RNAcentral lists this ribosomal RNA (229 nucleotides) under uncultured bacterium. Its description in RNAcentral is "partial 16S ribosomal RNA". It matches the Rfam family "Bacterial small subunit ribosomal RNA", at positions 568 to 796 of the family's 1533-position model. The record is from RNAcentral.
UACGUAGGCGGAAAAUUAAGUCAGUGGUGAAAUCCUGCAACUUAACUGUAGAACUGUCAUUGAUACUGGUUUUCUUGAAUACAGUUGAGGUAGGCGGAAUGUGUAAUGUAGCGGUGAAAUGCUUAGAUAUUACACAGAACACCGAUUGCGAAGGCAGCUUACUAAACUGUUAUUGACGCUGAGGUACGAAAGCGUGGGGAGCGAACAGGAUUAGAUACCCUGGUAGUCC